Molecule: transfer RNA, 74 nt
Filed under: Candidatus Omnitrophota bacterium
Lineage: Bacteria; Pseudomonadati; Candidatus Omnitrophota
Also listed under: 1 other name
Description: Candidatus Omnitrophica bacterium tRNA-Gln
Rfam family: tRNA
About the family: Transfer RNA (tRNA) molecules are approximately 80 nucleotides in length. Their secondary structure includes four short double-helical elements and three loops (D, anti-codon, and T loops).
Source: RNAcentral
UGGCGGGUAGUGUAAUGGUAGCACCGCAGCUUUUGGAGCUGCUUGUCAAGGUUCGAACCCUUGCCCGCCAGCCA